UAGGGUAAAAAAAAAAAAAAAAAAAAAAAAAAAAAAACUUCGGCAAUGGACGAAAGUCUGACCGAGCAACGCCGCGUGAGUGAAGAAGGUUUUCGGAUCGUAAAACUCUGUUGGUAGAGAAGAACGUUGGUGAGAGUGGAAAGCUCAUCAAGUGACGGUAACUACCCAGAAAGGGACGGCUAACUACGUGCCAG
This 194-nucleotide ribosomal RNA is filed under the name uncultured bacterium. RNAcentral's name for it is "partial 16S rRNA". It matches the Rfam family "Bacterial small subunit ribosomal RNA", at positions 61 to 511 of the family's 1533-position model. The record is from RNAcentral.